RNAcentral lists this microRNA precursor (71 nucleotides) under Mus pahari (shrew mouse). Its description in RNAcentral is "miRNA (MGP_PahariEiJ_G0006991.1)". The record is from RNAcentral. Lineage: Eukaryota; Metazoa; Chordata; Mammalia; Rodentia; Muridae.
GUAGCGCUCCUAACGGCAGAAGUAGGGGCUGUCUCUCACUCUGUUGCCUGCUUUUGAGAUCCUUUCCUCCC